RNAcentral lists this ribosomal RNA (320 nucleotides) under uncultured eukaryote. RNAcentral's name for it is "partial 18S ribosomal RNA". It matches the Rfam family "Eukaryotic small subunit ribosomal RNA", at positions 1470 to 1796 of the family's 1831-position model. The record is from RNAcentral.
CCCCUAGAUGUUCUGGGCCGCACGCGCGCUACACUGAACAGUUCAACAAGUCUUAACCUUGGCCGAUAGGUCUGGGUAAUCUUUGAACGCUGUUCGUGAUUGGGAUAGACCUUUGCAAUUAUGGGUCUUCAACGAGGAAUUCCUAGUAAACGCAAGUCAUCAGCUUGCAUUGAUUACGUCCCUGCCCUUUGUACACACCGCCCGUCGCACCCACCGAUUGAAUGGUCCGGUGAAAUCUCGGGACGGCGGCUUGGUCGCUUGCGUCCGACUGCUGAAACUUGAUUAAACCAUAUCAUUUAGAGGAAGGUGAANUCGUAACA